CGCGCCUACCACAUCAAGUCGAACGAGAAAGUCCCAAGGAUGAGUCAGUGGCGUCGGGUAGUAACACGUGAUUAUCUCCCUUUGGUGGGGAAUACCGCUGGAACCGGCGCAAUACCGCAUAAGCCCGAGAGGGGAAAGCGUUUUUGUGAAAGCAGAGACGCGCUGAAGGAGGAGUCCGCGGUCGAUUAGCUAGUUGGUAGGGUAAUGGCCUACCAAGGCUGUGAUCGAUAGCCGGCCUGAGAGGGCACACGGCCACACUGGCACUGAAACACGGGCCAGACUCCUACGGGAGGCAGCAGUGGGGAAUCUUGCACAAUGGGGGAAACCCUGAUGCAGCGACGCCGCGUGAGCGAUAAGCCCUUCGGGGUGUAAAGCUCUUUCGGCAGGGAAGAUGAUGGCG
This 400-nucleotide ribosomal RNA is filed under the name uncultured bacterium. RNAcentral's name for it is "bacterial SSU rRNA". It matches the Rfam family "Bacterial small subunit ribosomal RNA", at positions 43 to 456 of the family's 1533-position model. The record is from RNAcentral.